AACGAACGCUGGCGGCAUGCCUAACACAUGCAAGUCGAACGAGACCUUCGGGUCUAGUGGCGCACGGGUGCGUAACGCGUGGGAAUCUGCCCUUGGGUUCGGAAUAACAGUUGGAAACGACUGCUAAUACCGGAUGAUGACGUAAGUCCAAAGAUUUAUCGCCCAAGGAUGAGCCCGCGUAGGAUUAGCUAGUUGGUGAGGUAAAGGCUCACCGAGGCGACGAUCCUUAGCUGGUCUGAGAGGAUGAUCAGCCACACUGGGACUGAGACACGGCCCAGACUCCUACGGGAGGCAGCAGUGGGGAAUAUUGGACAAUGGGCGAAAGCCUGAUCCAGCAAUGCCGCGUGAGUGAUGAAGGCCUUAGGGUUGUAAAGCUCUUUUACCCGGGAUGAUAAUGACAGUACCGGGAGAAUAAGCUCCGGCUAACUCCGUG
This 433-nucleotide ribosomal RNA is filed under the name uncultured bacterium. RNAcentral's name for it is "partial 16S ribosomal RNA". It matches the Rfam family "Bacterial small subunit ribosomal RNA", at positions 29 to 507 of the family's 1533-position model. The record is from RNAcentral.